Molecule: transfer RNA, 73 nt
Filed under: Salmonella enterica subsp. enterica
Lineage: Bacteria; Pseudomonadati; Pseudomonadota; Gammaproteobacteria; Enterobacterales; Enterobacteriaceae
Description: tRNA-Tyr
Rfam family: tRNA
About the family: Transfer RNA (tRNA) molecules are approximately 80 nucleotides in length. Their secondary structure includes four short double-helical elements and three loops (D, anti-codon, and T loops). Further hydrogen bonds mediate the characteristic L-shaped molecular structure. tRNAs have two regions of fundamental functional importance: the anti-codon, which is responsible for specific mRNA codon recognition, and the 3' end, to which the tRNAs corresponding amino acid is attached (by aminoacyl-tRNA synthetases). tRNAs cope with the degeneracy of the genetic code in two manners: having more than one tRNA (with a specific anti-codon) for a particular amino acid; and 'wobble' base-pairing, i.e. permitting non-standard base-pairing at the 3rd anti-codon position.
Source: RNAcentral
GGCUACGUAGCUCAGUUGGUUAGAGCAUAUCACUAUAAUGCGAUAAAUACAGGUUCGAAUCCCGUCGUAGCCA